GAGGGUACAGCUCAGUGGUAGAGCGUACUUAGCACACACGAGGUCCUGGGUUCAAUUCCCAGUACCUCCA
This 70-nucleotide transfer RNA is filed under the name Camelus ferus (Wild Bactrian camel). It matches the Rfam family "tRNA". From Rfam's summary of the family: Transfer RNA (tRNA) molecules are approximately 80 nucleotides in length. The record is from Rfam by way of RNAcentral. Lineage: Eukaryota; Metazoa; Chordata; Mammalia; Artiodactyla; Camelidae.